RNAcentral lists this non-coding RNA (30 nucleotides) under Mus musculus (house mouse). The record is from RNAcentral. Lineage: Eukaryota; Metazoa; Chordata; Mammalia; Rodentia; Muridae.
GGACAUGAUAGAUUUAUGCUGAGAAGAGAG